Molecule: ribosomal RNA, 1356 nt
Filed under: Microbacterium sp.
Lineage: Bacteria; Bacillati; Actinomycetota; Actinomycetes; Micrococcales; Microbacteriaceae
Description: bacterial SSU rRNA
Rfam family: Bacterial small subunit ribosomal RNA
Source: RNAcentral
AAGCCCAGCUUGCUGGGUGGAUCAGUGGCGAACGGGUGAGUAACACGUGAGCAACCUGCCCCUGACUCUGGGAUAAGCGCUGGAAACGGCGUCUAAUACUGGAUACGAACCGGAAUCGCAUGGUUACUGGUUGGAAAGAAUUUCGGUUGGGGAUGGGCUCGCGGCCUAUCAGCUUGUUGGUGAGGUAAUGGCUCACCAAGGCGUCGACGGGUAGCCGGCCUGAGAGGGUGACCGGCCACACUGGGACUGAGACACGGCCCAGACUCCUACGGGAGGCAGCAGUGGGGAAUAUUGCACAAUGGGCGGAAGCCUGAUGCAGCAACGCCGCGUGAGGGAUGACGGCCUUCGGGUUGUAAACCUCUUUUAGCAGGGAAGAAGCGAAAGUGACGGUACCUGCAGAAAAAGCACCGGCUAACUACGUGCCAGCAGCCGCGGUAAUACGUAGGGUGCAAGCGUUAUCCGGAAUUAUUGGGCGUAAAGAGCUCGUAGGCGGUUUGUCGCGUCUGCUGUGAAAUCUGGGGGCUCAACCCCCAGCCUGCAGUGGGUACGGGCAGACUAGAGUGCGGUAGGGGAGAUUGGAAUUCCUGGUGUAGCGGUGGAAUGCGCAGAUAUCAGGAGGAACACCGAUGGCGAAGGCAGAUCUCUGGGCCGUAACUGACGCUGAGGAGCGAAAGGGUGGGGAGCAAACAGGCUUAGAUACCCUGGUAGUCCACCCCGUAAACGUUGGGAACUAGUUGUGGGGUCCAUUCCACGGAUUCCGUGACGCAGCUAACGCAUUAAGUUCCCCGCCUGGGGAGUACGGCCGCAAGGCUAAAACUCAAAGGAAUUGACGGGGACCCGCACAAGCGGCGGAGCAUGCGGAUUAAUUCGAUGCAACGCGAAGAACCUUACCAAGGCUUGACAUAUACGAGAACGGGCCAGAAAUGGUCAACUCUUUGGACACUCGUAAACAGGUGGUGCAUGGUUGUCGUCAGCUCGUGUCGUGAGAUGUUGGGUUAAGUCCCGCAACGAGCGCAACCCUCGUUCUAUGUUGCCAGCACGUAAUGGUGGGAACUCAUGGGAUACUGCCGGGGUCAACUCGGAGGAAGGUGGGGAUGACGUCAAAUCAUCAUGCCCCUUAUGUCUUGGGCUUCACGCAUGCUACAAUGGCCGGUACAAAGGGCUGCAAUACCGUGAGGUGGAGCGAAUCCCAAAAAGCCGGUCCCAGUUCGGAUUGAGGUCUGCAACUCGACCUCAUGAAGUCGGAGUCGCUAGUAAUCGCAGAUCAGCAACGCUGCGGUGAAUACGUUCCCGGGUCUUGUACACACCGCCCGUCAAGUCAUGAAAGUCGGUAACACCUGAAGCCGGUGGCCUAAC